CGGGCUGUAGCGAAGUUGGUAUCGCGCACGGUUCGGGACCGUGAGGUCGCGGGUUCAAGUCCCGCCAGCCCGACCA
Molecule: transfer RNA, 76 nt
Filed under: Candidatus Magasanikiibacteriota bacterium
Lineage: Bacteria; Candidatus Magasanikiibacteriota
Description: tRNA-Pro
Rfam family: tRNA
About the family: Transfer RNA (tRNA) molecules are approximately 80 nucleotides in length. Their secondary structure includes four short double-helical elements and three loops (D, anti-codon, and T loops).
Source: RNAcentral